UGGUGACAACCCAAAAUUCUCCUGUGCGGGGCAGAUAGGACCAUGGUGAAGGAGAGCACGAGUGUGUUUACAGUUCAGUGAUCUCCGUGUUGGUCAUCUGAGUUCCUCAGCAGCUCUCUACUUUAAUUCAUACGAGUCUCUACUCUCUCCCCCUGUCGUCUGUCCUCUGACUGGCUCACAUUAGGACACACAACGCAUCGUGAUGAUUUAUGGCUCCAAAAUCUGCGCACAAAACAAAAGCUAUAAUAACCUUAAAAAAAAGAAAAAACCUGAGACCGUUCCACAAGCAUUUCCCAGAAGUGACUUCAGAGUUGCAUAAACUCUGUAUGAAGAGUGAGGAGAUUUUUAUUAUGUGUGUGGGUUGGAGCAGAUGGGCUGGUGUGUAAGGGGAAUACAAAAAUAAAUAAAUAAGUAAAUACUCAACUAACCCUGGAUGAUUUCCUACCUGGGAUGUGUCUUUGAUAUGGGGGCACAGUAGGAAAGCAGCCGGGGGGAACAGCAGAAGAUGUAACUUAAUUUUAGGCAAUCAGGGAAAAGUCGAAGCAGUUUCCAUUACCGUCUGACGUUUCAAUUCAUCACAUGAAAAUCUGCUGCCUUUCACAGAAAGAGAAGCUGUAUGACUGUAAGGUUUUUGGCUGCCAAUGGAUUUGCGACUAACAGAAAACACACACAAAUCCCGUCCAGGCCUGCAGCGCAUGUGUGCAUAUUUAAGACCAAACUCAAUACAGGAAUAUUUAUAGUAGUAUCUCAUUAUCUUUAAGCCUUGAUAAAAUAGCCUUUUUUCUAUCAGAAUAACAAUUUAUAUUCUAAUUUACCCUCUAAUAAAUGCAAUAACCAGUGAGAACAUUCUGUCACCAAAUAUUGUUAAACACAAUAUAGUAUUAAAGCACAAAUUCAAGUCAACAUAAUUACAUUCUGGCUAAAUAGCUAACACUGCGUUGGUCUAAAUGUCCUUAUAAAACAAUAAAGUACAAUGUCAAUAAAACUUUUAAAUCUU
Long non-coding RNA from Thunnus maccoyii (southern bluefin tuna), 997 nucleotides. RefSeq lists it as uncharacterized. The transcript has 3 exons. The record is from RefSeq and is a predicted model, not a curated record. Lineage: Eukaryota; Metazoa; Chordata; Actinopteri; Scombriformes; Scombridae.